CUACGGGAGGCAGCAGUAGGGAAUCUUCCACAAUGGACGAAAGUCUGAUGGAGCAACGCCGCGUGAGUGAUGAAGGUUUUCGGAUCGUAAAACUCUGUUGUUAAAGAAGAACAAGUGUUAGAGUAACUGUUAACACUUUGACGGUAUUUAACCAGAAAGCCACGGCUAACUACGUGCCAGCAGCCGCGGUAAUACGUAGGUGGCAAGCGUUGUCCGGAUUUAUUGGGCGUAAAGCGAGCGCAGGCGGUUUUGUAAGUCUGCUGUGAAAGCCCUCAGCUCAACUGAGGAAGUGCAGUGGAAACUACAAAACUUGAGUACAGAAGAGGAAAGUGGAACUCCAUGUGUAGCGGUGAAAUGCGUAGAUAUAUGGAAGAACACCAGUGGCGAAGGCGGCUUUCUGGUCUGUUACUGACGCUGAGGCUCGAAAGCAUGGGUAGCGAACAGGAUUAGAUACCCUGGUAGUCCAUGCCGUAAACGAUGAAUACUAGGUGUUGGAGGGUUUCCGCCCUUCAGUGCCGCAGCUAACGCAUUAAGUUCCNCCUGGGGAGUACGACCGCANGGUUGAAACUCAAAGGAAUUGACGGGGGCCCCCACAAGUGGUG
RNAcentral lists this ribosomal RNA (602 nucleotides) under Apilactobacillus kunkeei. RNAcentral describes it as "bacterial SSU rRNA". It matches the Rfam family "Bacterial small subunit ribosomal RNA", at positions 339 to 934 of the family's 1533-position model. The record is from RNAcentral. Lineage: Bacteria; Bacillati; Bacillota; Bacilli; Lactobacillales; Lactobacillaceae.